UACCAGCUCUUCGAGUGGUGUGGAUGUUUAUUGGGCCUAAAGCAUCCGUAGCUGGCUGGACAAGUCCCCUGUUAAAUCCACCGAUUCAAUCGUUGGAGUGCGGGGGAUACUGUUCGGCUAGGGGGACGGGAGAGGCAGACGGUAUUUUCGGGGUAGGGGUGAAAUCCUAUAAUCCCGGGAAGACCACCAGUGGCGAAGGCUGUCUGCUAGAACGCGCCCGACGGUGAGGGAGGAAAGCUGGGGGAGCGAACCGGAUUAGAUACCCGGGUAGUCCCAGCUGUAAACGAUGCAGGCUAGGUGUUUGGGCGGCCACGUGCCGCUCUAGUGCCGCAGGGAAGCCGUUAAGCCUGCCGCCUGGGGAGUACGGCCGCAAGGCUGAAACUUAAAGGAAUUGGCGGGGAGCACCACAAGGGGUGAAGCUUGCGGUUU
This 429-nucleotide ribosomal RNA is filed under the name uncultured archaeon. RNAcentral describes it as "bacterial SSU rRNA". It matches the Rfam family "Archaeal small subunit ribosomal RNA", at positions 474 to 903 of the family's 1478-position model. The record is from RNAcentral.